UGAAUACGAGACGCUAAGGCGUCGAAGUAGUGUAUGUCAUACUUCCAAGAAAAGCUUGCACUGUCAUAGAUAAAAAACGCCUGUACCAUAACCGACACAGGUGGGUAGGUAGAGUAUACUAAGGGGCGCGAGAUAACUCUCUCUAAGGAACUCGGCAAAAUAACUCCGUAACUUCGGGAGAAGGAGUGCCUUAUUAUUAAGGCUGCAAUAACAAGAUCCAAGCAACUGUUUAUCAAAAACACAGGUCUCCGCUAAGUCGUAAGACGAUGUAUGGGGGCUGACGCCUGCCCAGUGCCAGAAGGUUAAAGAAGUUGGUUAGCAUUUGCGAAGCUGAUAACUGAAGCCCUGGUGAACGGCGGCCGUAACGAUAACGGUCCUAAGGUAGCGAAAUUCCUUGUCGGGUAAGUUCCGACCCGCACGAAAGGCGUAAUGAUUUGGAUACUGUCUCGGAGAGGGGCUCGGUGAAAUAGACUUGUCUGUGAAGAUGCGGACUACCUGCACCAGGACAGAAAGACCCUAUGAAGCUUUACUGUAACUUGAAAUUGAAAUUGGACUUUAUUCGCGCAGCAUAGGUGGGAGGCGUUGAUUAUAAUCUUGUGGGAUUAUUGGAGCCAUCAGUGAGAUACCACUCUUGUAAUGUUAGAUUUCUAACUUUGAAUCAUUAUCUGGUCAAAGAACAGUUUCAGGCGGGCAGUUUGACUGGGGCGGUCGCCUCCUAAACGGUAACGGAGGCGUACAAAGGUUUCCUCUGAACGGUUAGAAAUCGUAUCUAGAGUGUAAAGGCAUAAGGAAGCUUGACUGUGAGACCUACAAGUCGAGCAGGGACGAAAGUCGGUCUUAGUGAUCUGACGGUACUGAGUGGAAAGGCCGUCACUCAACGGAUAAAAGUUACUCUAGGAUAACAGGCUGAUCUCCCCCAAGAGUUCACAUCGACGGGGAGGUUUGGCACCUCGAUGUCGGCUCAUCGCAUCCUGGGGCGGUAGUACGUCCCAAGGGUUGGGCUGUUCGCCCAUGAAAGCGGUACGCGAGCUGGGUUCAGAACGUCGUGAGACAGUUCGGUCCAUAUCCGGUGUAGGCGUUAGAAUAUUGAGAGGAGCCUUCUUUAGUACGAGAGGACCGAGAAGGACAUACCUCUGGUGUACCAGUUAUCGUGCCAACGGUAAACGCUGGGUAGCUAUGUAUGGAGUGGAUAACCGCUGAAAGCAUCUAAGUGGGAAGCCCACCUCAAGAUAAGUAUUCUCAUC
This 1244-nucleotide ribosomal RNA is filed under the name metagenome. RNAcentral describes it as "bacterial LSU rRNA". It matches the Rfam family "Bacterial large subunit ribosomal RNA", at positions 1564 to 2818 of the family's 2925-position model. The record is from RNAcentral.